AUGGCGACCGGCGCACGGGUGAGUAACACGUAUCCAACCUGCCGAUAACUCGGGGAUAGCCUUUCGAAAGAAAGAUUAAUACCCGAUGGUAUAAUCAGACCGCAUGGUUUGAUUAUUAAAGAAUUUCGGUUAUCGAUGGGGAUGCGUUCCAUUAGGCAGUUGGUGAGGUAACGGCCCACCUAGUCAACGAUGGAUAGGGGUUCUGAGAGGAAGGUCCCCCACAUUGGAACUGAGACACGGUCCAA
RNAcentral lists this ribosomal RNA (245 nucleotides) under uncultured bacterium. Its description in RNAcentral is "partial 16S ribosomal RNA". It matches the Rfam family "Bacterial small subunit ribosomal RNA", at positions 88 to 334 of the family's 1533-position model. The record is from RNAcentral.